This 631-nucleotide ribosomal RNA is filed under the name uncultured Lachnospiraceae bacterium. Its description in RNAcentral is "bacterial SSU rRNA". It matches the Rfam family "Bacterial small subunit ribosomal RNA", at positions 68 to 708 of the family's 1533-position model. The record is from RNAcentral. Lineage: Bacteria; Bacillati; Bacillota; Clostridia; Lachnospirales; Lachnospiraceae.
UAAAGGAAGUUUUCGGAUGGAAUUUGAAAUGAGUGAGCGGCGGACGGGUGAGUAACGCGUGGGUAACCUGCCUCAUACAGGGGGAUAACAGUUAGAAAUGACUGCUAAUACCGCAUAAGCACACAGUACCGCAUGGUACAGUGUGAAAAACUCCGGUGGUAUGAGAUGGACCCGCGUCUGAUUAGCUUGUUGGCGGGGUAACGGCCCACCAAGGCGACGAUCAGUAGCCGACCUGAGAGGGUGACCGGCCACAUUGGGACUGAGACACGGCCCAAACUCCUACGGGAGGCAGCAGUGGGGAAUAUUGCACAAUGGGGGAAACCCUGAUGCAGCAACGCCGCGUGAGUGAAGAAGUAUUUCGGUAUGUAAAGCUCUAUCAGCAGGGAAGAAAGUGACGGUACCUGACUAAGAAGCCCCGGCUAACUACGUGCCAGCAGCCGCGGUAAUACGUAGGGGGCAAGCGUUAUCCGGAUUUACUGGGUGUAAAGGGAGCGUAGACGGCACAGCAAGUCUGAAGUGGAAUCCCCGGGCUCAACACGGGAACUGCUUUGGAAACUGCUGGGCUGGAGUGCUGGAGAGGCAAGCGGAAUUCCUAGUGUAGCGGUGAAAUGCGUAGAUAUUAGGAGGAACA